Molecule: ribosomal RNA, 2154 nt
Filed under: Triticum aestivum (bread wheat)
Lineage: Eukaryota; Viridiplantae; Streptophyta; Magnoliopsida; Poales; Poaceae
Description: partial small subunit ribosomal RNA
Source: RNAcentral
AUGGACGCCGAUAAGGUGGCGGCCGUCUCCGCCUGGCCAACGCCUCACUCGCCGCGGGCUCUCCGCGGGUUCCUCGGACUCGCCGGCUACUACCGGAAAUUUAUCCGGGAGUUCGGACUCAUCGCGGCACCCCUCACGCGGCUGCUUCGCCACGACGCCUUCGCUUGGGACGACAAGGUGACAGCGGCGUUCGAGGCCCUCAAGGGGGCCCUCACGACAGGCCCCGCCCUCCAGAUGCCCGACUUCGACCGCCCGUUCGUGGUGGACUGUGACGCCUCGGGCGCCGGGUUCGGCGCCGUACUUCAUCAGGGAGAUGGGCCUCUUGCUUUCUUCAGCCGACCCUUCGCUCCGCGCCAUCUUAAGUUGGCAGCCUACGAGCGGGAGCUCAUUGGCCUCGUCCAGGCCGUGCGUCAUUGGCGGCCAUACUUGUGGGGACGGACCUUCCACAUUCGCACAGACCACUACAGUCUGAAGUUCUUGCUGGAUCAACGCCUGUCAACCGUGCCGCAGCACCAGUGGAUCAGCAAGCUCUUCGGCUUCGACUUCUCCGUCGAGUAUCGGCCGGGCCGUCUUAACACGGUGGCCGACGCGCUAUCCCGUCGCGAUUCCGACCUCGCGCCGACCGCCGACUCGACCGCCGGGACGGUCCUGUGCAUCCGCUCCGGGCCUUCAUUCAGUCUCUUCGCCGACAUUCGACGCGCCACUGAGACGGCAGAUGAUGCCGCCCUACUACAGCAGCAGCUAGCGGCUGGCACCUUGGAGGAGCCUUGGCGCUUCUCUGACGGACUGUUCCUCCAUGGGCGCCGGAUCUUUGUUCCGGCGCAUGAUGAUCUCCGCCACCAGGUGUUACAGCUCGCCCACUCGACCGACCAUGAGGGUGUGCAGAAAACCCUCCAUCGUCUUCGCGCCGACUUCUACAUCCCUGGCGAUCGUGCCCUGGUCCGCGACUGGGUUCGAUCUUGUCAGACUUGCCAGCGCAAUAAGACGGAGACCCUGAGGCCGGCGGGGCUCCUUCAGCCCUUGGAAGUGCCAUCUCAGGUUUGGGCUGAUAUUUCCAUGGACUUCAUCGAGGGCCUUCCCAAGGUUGGGGGCAAGUCGGUCAUCCUCACGGUGGUUGAUCGCUUCUCUAAGUACGCCCACUUCAUCGCGCUCGGCCAUCCGUACACGGCGGCGUCCGUGGCCCGGGCCUUCUUCGACGGCAUUGUCCGUCUCCAUGGGUUCCCGACUUCGAUCAUCAGUGAUCGGGACCCAGUCUUCACAGGCCAUGUCUGGCGCGACCUCUUCAGGAUGGCGGGUGUCCAGCUCUGCCUCAGUACGGCGUUCCAUCCUCAGACGGACGGUCAGUCCGAGGUGGUUAACAAGGUCAUUGCUAUGUAUUUGCGUUGUGUGACAGGUGAUCGGCCUCGCGCAUGGGUGGACUGGCUCUCUUGGGCGGAGUUCUGCUACAACACUUCUUAUCACUCCGCCCUGCGCGCGACGCCAUUUGAGGUGGUCUAUGGUCGCCCACCCCCGCCUAUACUUCCGGUCGACCCGGAGACGACUCGGACGGUGGCUGCAGGUGACCUUAUCCGCACCCGUGAUGAGAUGCUAGCGGAGGUCCGUCAGCGCCUACUUCAGGCCCAGCAGACGGCCAAGCACUACUACGACGAUCAUCAUCGCGAGGCGGAGUUCGCCGUGGGCGACUGGGUGUGGCUGCGUCUUCUCCACCGCUCUACGCAGUCACUGGACCCGCGCGCGAAGCGCAAGCUUGGCCCUCGAUACGCCGGGCCCUUCCCUGUCGUGGAGCGCAUCGGGAAGGUGGCCUAUCGUCUUCAGCUUCCAGCCCGCGCCCGCAUCCACGACGUGUUCCAUGUGGGGCUGCUCAAGCCUUUCCGUGGCGAGCCACCAGCAGCUCCUCCGGCGCUUCCUCCAACCGCCGAGGGUCGCAUUCUUCCAGAGCCAGCAAAGGUGUUGCAGGCCCAGCUCUGUCGUGGUGUCUGGUUCAUUCUAAUUCAGUGGGCGGGCCUUCCGGAGGAGGAGGCUACUUGGGAACAGCGUGAAGAUUUCCUUCAACACUAUCCAGACUUUCAGCUCGAGGACGAGCUGUUUGCGCAGGCGGGGAGAGAUGUUAUGACCGGCUUGGUCUAUACUAGGAAGAGGCCCACAGGGCAUUAG